Molecule: small nucleolar RNA, 81 nt
Filed under: Oryza sativa (Asian cultivated rice)
Lineage: Eukaryota; Viridiplantae; Streptophyta; Magnoliopsida; Poales; Poaceae
Description: Z186 small nucleolar RNA
Source: RNAcentral
GGCCGGUGAUGACAAGACCAUUGUCAUACUAGAUAUUGAUCAUAUGAAGUAUGUAAUGUAAUAUUCUGCUUCUCUGAGGCC